Molecule: ribosomal RNA, 433 nt
Filed under: uncultured bacterium
Lineage: Bacteria
Description: partial 16S ribosomal RNA
Rfam family: Bacterial small subunit ribosomal RNA
Source: RNAcentral
AACGAACGCUGGCGGCAUGCCUAACACAUGCCAGUCGAACGAGACCUUCGGGUCUAGUGGCGCACGGGUGCUUAACGCGGGGGAACCUGCCCGUAGGUUCGGAAUAACUCCCCGAAAGGGGUGCUAAUACCGGAUAAUGUCUUCCGACCAAAGAGUUAUCGCCUUUGGCUGGGCCCGCGUUGGAUUAGCUAGUUGGUAGGGUAAAAGCCGACCAAGGCGACGAUCCAUAGCUGGUCUGAGAGGAUGAUCCGCCACACUGGGACUGAGACCCGGCCCAGAAUCCUACGCGAGGCAGGAGUGGGGAAUAUUGGGCAAUGGACGCAAGCCUGAUCAAGCAAUGCCGGGUGAGUGAUGAAGGCCUUAGGGUUGUAAAGCUCUUUUACCCGGGAUGAUAAUGACAGUACCGGGAGAAUAAGCACCGGCUAACUACGUG